This 492-nucleotide ribosomal RNA is filed under the name uncultured bacterium. RNAcentral's name for it is "partial 16S ribosomal RNA". It matches the Rfam family "Bacterial small subunit ribosomal RNA", at positions 30 to 507 of the family's 1533-position model. The record is from RNAcentral.
AUUGAACGCUGGCGGCAUGCUUUACACAUGCAAGUCGAACGGUAACAGGCCUUCGGGUGCUGACGAGUGGCGAACGGGUGAGUAAUACAUCGGAACGUACCCAGAGGUGGGGGAUAACGCAGCGAAAGCUGUGCUAAUACCGCAUGUGAUCUGAGGAUGAAAGCGGGGGACCGCGCAGCAAUGUUUGGCCUCGCGCCUUUGUAGCGGCCGAUGUCGGAUUAGCUAGUUGGUGGGGUAAAGGCCUACCAAGGCGACGAUCCGUAGCUGGUCUGAGAGGACGACCAGCCACACUGGGACUGAGACACGGCCCAGACUCCUACGGGAGGCAGCAGUGGGGAAUUUUGGACAAUGGGCGCAAGCCUGAUCCAGCAAUGCCGCGUGCGGGAAGAAGGCCUUCGGGUUGUAAACCGCUUUUGGCAGGAACGAAACGGUGUCCGCUAAUACCGGGCGCUAAUGACGGUACCUGCAGAAUAAGCACCGGCUAACUACGUG